Molecule: unclassified non-coding RNA, 432 nt
Filed under: fungal sp.
Lineage: Eukaryota; Fungi
Description: partial internal transcribed spacer region
Rfam family: Eukaryotic small subunit ribosomal RNA (bases 1-46)
Source: RNAcentral
AAGUCGUAACAAGGUUUCCGUAGGUGAACCUGCGGAAGGAUCAUUACCGAAACGAAGACUUGGUUGGCAUGCAUCCGCUGUGUGCGUGCGACCAGUCUGAGUUAAGCAGUUCAACUGUGCACUUGUUUUCAACUCUCCCUGCUCGGUACAUGAAUUGAAGAGAAUUUAGUAAUGUUGAGGAGUCUCUCGGGACUCAGCUAUCUUCUCUAACUUGACUUCGGUCAGACAAUUGUAGUACUGCGGUCAGGCAACCUUCUGCUUACAACCUUCUCUCAUCUGAAGGGAGUAGUGGAAUUAAACACACAUUUCACCCUAUUUUUGCUAGUUGACUUUUAUAUGUUGUCUUAUUCGAUACUUCGGUAUUGCGUAAUUCACACGUUUAUUAUUUGAACGUUAAAUUUACAACUCUUAGCAAUGGAUAUCUUGGUUCUC